Molecule: transfer RNA, 83 nt
Filed under: Candidatus Omnitrophota bacterium
Lineage: Bacteria; Pseudomonadati; Candidatus Omnitrophota
Description: tRNA-Leu
Rfam family: tRNA
About the family: Transfer RNA (tRNA) molecules are approximately 80 nucleotides in length. Their secondary structure includes four short double-helical elements and three loops (D, anti-codon, and T loops). Further hydrogen bonds mediate the characteristic L-shaped molecular structure. tRNAs have two regions of fundamental functional importance: the anti-codon, which is responsible for specific mRNA codon recognition, and the 3' end, to which the tRNAs corresponding amino acid is attached (by aminoacyl-tRNA synthetases). tRNAs cope with the degeneracy of the genetic code in two manners: having more than one tRNA (with a specific anti-codon) for a particular amino acid; and 'wobble' base-pairing, i.e. permitting non-standard base-pairing at the 3rd anti-codon position.
Source: RNAcentral
GCCGAGGUGGAGGAAUGGUAGACUCGGGAGGUUUAAAACCUCCUGGACGCAAGUCCGUGUGGGUUCGACUCCCACCCCCGGCA